UGAUCUUCACCCAGCAACAUAUGAUGUCAUCACCAACCCAAGUAAAGUAGAAGAGACAUAUGCUGUCAUCACAAACCCCAGUGAUAAAAAAGAGGAGGAUAAACCCCUGGCAACAGCUGUUUACUACACUCUGAGCAUGAGACAAGGAGAAUCUAGCUCCACUGCGACACCAGUUCUCUCUGCAAGUCACUGAGAGCAGAGGCACCGGGCUGAACAACACACAGUAAACUCUUUAAAACUUGUACAACAGCAGCUUUUAGAUUAGCUUUGACUGUUUUAUUUAUAUCUUAUGACUGAAGUACAGUAGAGCAGUAGUUCUCAACCUUUUUGAGUCGCGACCCCCAAUUUAACACGCAUGUUGUCUGCGACCCCCGCUCACUGAACACAAUCUCACACAGAUCAUACAAACUCAGUUGACACAACGAAUUUUGGACAAAUAAUGAAGCCGACAACAACUAAAACAUCUCUCUGUCUGUGCAUUUAUAUCUUUGUUUAUAUUUGAUUGUUACUU
Molecule: long non-coding RNA, 511 nt
Organism: Centropristis striata (black sea bass)
Lineage: Eukaryota; Metazoa; Chordata; Actinopteri; Perciformes; Serranidae
Exons: 5
Source: RefSeq, a predicted model, not a curated record